Molecule: ribosomal RNA, 253 nt
Filed under: uncultured bacterium
Lineage: Bacteria
Description: partial 16S ribosomal RNA
Rfam family: Bacterial small subunit ribosomal RNA
Source: RNAcentral
GACGGAGGGUGCAAGCGUUGUUCGGAUUGACUGGGCGUAAAGGGCGUGUAGGCGGUCGGCCAAGUCUGAUGUGAAAGCCCGAGGCUCAGCCUCGGAAGUGCGUCGGAAACUAGUCGGCUGGAGCGCGAUAGAGGAGGGUGGAAUUCCCGGUGUAGCGGUGGAAUGCGUAGAGAUCGGGAAGAACAUCAGUGGCGAAGGCGGCCUGCUGGGCUGUUGCUGACGCUGAGGCGCGACAGCGUGGGGAGCAAACAGG